UGGAAUCUAAAUUCCACUCAAAUGACAAGUCAACCCUGUGAAUUAAAACUCCAAAUGGUUUUAUAAAGCAAUUAAAUCAACAUAUAUGUACUUUUUUGGGAGCUUGGAAAGGACUUCAAGACAAAUACCAAACCCUGGUCCCAUCAGUAACUAUAGAACUAUAUGCAAUAGCAUGCAAAUUCCUGCCAGUAACUAUAUAAACUGGAUGUGGUCCUGUGAGUAACUGUAAAAUACAUGCAGUAACAGGGAAAGGUCUCAGCAAAGUGGGAAAAGCACAGAUGUGCAAACACAGCUGAGAAAAAUGUGUGUGGUUCAUUCACUUGUUUGCCAGAGUGUUGUUACUUCAGCACAUUAUUUACAGAUAAAAAAUGGCACAUCCUUGCAGUCAUGUGGCUCCUCAGCUCCCUCUUUAUAAUCCAGGUUAACCAGCAAUUCUGGGCAGAAAUAAUUUGGCUACUUUGGUGCUCAGCUCUUGGCCCAGGAAAACUCCUUUAUUCGGAGGAAGAAGCAGCCAGGAGGGAAACCCAGCUCCCAAGGCUCCUUGGUCUGACAACUUAAACAGAAAGUCUUUCAGGCCCUGGACUCUCUUCAUGCAUUUUGUACUGAACCUGCCUCCAGGCAAAAGGGAGAAAAUGAGCAGAGAAUCAGAACAUUCCUGCAGCCACGAAAACUCCUCUCCCCAGCCGUGAGCUCUGCCAGGCUCUCCAGCACUGCACUGAAGUUUUCCUUUCCUGUUUUGACCUCUUGCAACUCCUGCUAAGGGAAAAACACUCAAGGACCAUUUUUGGAGUUGAAAUGCUCUGACAUAAUAGAGGGCAAGGGAUUGGAAAAGUUUUGGGCUUGUACAGUUUCCAUAGUGGGAGGAAGGAAAGAAGAGUUUAUGGGGUGCAUGAACCAUCAGGGAUCUGCACAGGGCAGGAUGGUCAUGAGCAGAAUGUACUGUCAUUAAAAUGAUGAAAGAUAAUUCUAACUCCUCUAAAAAUAAAAUAUUUCCUGAUAGCUCUCCACGGAUAAGCUUUGGGAUCAAUGUGGCCUCACUAUUUUGAUUUGUACCCUCAAAAUCCAUUCUGAGGGACAGAUUUUGCACAUCAUCUUACCUUUCACUUAAUGUUAUGUACUUAAUAUAUAAACAUACAGCAACACCUGAGGGAGCCUGCUGUACUUCAGCAGGAAUCCACCUGUUCUGACAGGGCUGUUUUUCAAGCAGAUGGGCCCGUGAUGGAUUAUCUGCCCCUGGCCCAUCGCAGCAUCUUCCUGAACAAUUUGCUCAGAUGUUUAUAAUGGGAUUUUCCUGCUUGCACAACACUUGCACAUCCCCAGGACAAAGUGGCCUUCUGCUGAAAAGUCACCCAGCCUGAGAAGUUUGUUUCUCUGCUGGGAAAGAGCCUUCCCGAGCCCGUGUCCCAGUGGGAUCUGGGCAUGACCCUUUGGAAGAGGUUGGCAUGUGGUGCUCCAGAGAUAACAAAACAAGCACAGCCUCCUCCAGGGUCAUCUCUCACACCCA
Molecule: long non-coding RNA, 1504 nt
Filed under: Ficedula albicollis (Collared flycatcher)
Lineage: Eukaryota; Metazoa; Chordata; Aves; Passeriformes; Muscicapidae
Description: lncRNA (ENSFALG00000023222.1)
Source: RNAcentral